GACGAACGCUGGCGGCGCGCCUAACACAUGCAAGUCGAACGAGAGAUGAGGAGCUUGCUCUUCAAAUCGAGUUGGCGAACGGGUGAGUAACGCGUGAGGAACCUGCCUCAAAGAGGGGGACAACAGUUGGAAACGACUGCUAAUACCGCAUAAGCCCACGGCUCGGCAUCGAGCAGAGGGAAAAGGAGCAAUCCGCUUUGAGAUGGCCUCGCGUCCGAUUAGCUAGUUGGUGAGGUAACGGCCCACCAAGGCGACGAUCGGUAGCCGGACUGAGAGGUUGAACGGCCACAUUGGGACUGAGACACGGCCCAGACUCCUACGGGAGGCAGCAGUGGGGAAUAUUGCACAAUGGGGGAAACCCUGAUGCAGCGACGCCGCGUGGAGGAAGAAGGUCUUCGGAUUGUAAACUCCUGUUGUUGAGGAAGAUAAUGACGGUACUCAACAAGGAAGUGACGGCUAACUACGUGCCAGCAGCCGCGGUAAAACGUAGGUCACAAGCGUUGUCCGGAAUUACUGGGUGUAAAGGGAGCGCAGGCGGGAGAACAAGUUGGAAGUGAAAUCCAUGGGCUCAACCCAUGAACUGCUUUCAAAACUGUUUUUCUUGAGUAGUGCAGAGGUAGGCGGAAUUCCCGGUGUAGCGGUGGAAUGCGUAGAUAUCGGGAGGAACACCAGUGGCGAAGGCGGCCUACUGGGCACCAACUGACGCUGAGGCUCGAAAGUGUGGGUAGCAAACAGGAUUAGAUACCCUGGUAGUCCACACCGUAAACGAUGAUUACUAGGUGUUGGAGGAUUGACCCCUUCAGUGCCGCAGUUAACACAAUAAGUAAUCCACCUGGGGAGUACGACCGCAAGGUUGAAACUCAAAGGAAUUGACGGGGGCCCGCACAAGCAGUGGAGUAUGUGGUUUAAUUCGAUGAUACGCGAGGAACCUUACCCGGGCUUAAAUUGCAACAGAAUAUAUUGGAAACAGUAUAGCCGUAAGGCUGUUGUGAAGGUGCUGCAUGGUUGUCGUCAGCUCGUGCCGUGAGGUGUCGGCUUAAGUGCCAUAACGAGCGCAACCCUUAUCUUUAGUUACUAACAGGUUAUGCUGAGGACUCUAGAGAGACUGCCGUCGUAAGAUGUGAGGAAGGUGGGGAUGACGUCAAAUCAGCACGGCCCUUACGUCCGGGGCUACACACGUGUUACAAUGGGCGGUACAGAAGGCAGCUACCUGGCGACAGGAUGCCAAUCCCAAAAGCCGCUCUCAGUUCGGACUGGAGUCUGCAACCCGACUCCACGAAGCUGGAUUCGCUAGUAAUCGCGCAUCAGCCACGGCGCGGUGAAAUACGUUCCCGGGCCUU
This 1340-nucleotide ribosomal RNA is filed under the name uncultured bacterium. RNAcentral's name for it is "bacterial SSU rRNA". It matches the Rfam family "Bacterial small subunit ribosomal RNA", at positions 28 to 1382 of the family's 1533-position model. The record is from RNAcentral.